AUUGAACGCUGGCGGCAGGCCUAACACAUGCAAGUCGAGCGGAUGAAGGGAGCUUGCUCCUGGAUUCAGCGGCGGACGGGUGAGUAAUGCCUAGGAAUCUGCCUGGUAGUGGGGGAUAACGUCCGGAAACGGGCGCUAAUACCGCAUACGUCCUGAGGGAGAAAGUGGGGGAUCUUCGGACCUCACGCUAUCAGAUGAGCCUAGGUCGGAUUAGCUAGUUGGUGGGGUAAAGGCCUACCAAGGCGACGAUCCGUAACUGGUCUGAGAGGAUGAUCAGUCACACUGGAACUGAGACACGGUCCAGACUCCUACGGGAGGCAGCAGUGGGGAAUAUUGGACAAUGGGCGAAAGCCUGAUCCAGCCAUGCCGCGUGUGUGAAGAAGGUCUUCGGAUUGUAAAGCACUUUAAGUUGGGAGGAAGGGCAGUAAGUUAAUACCUUGCUGUUUGGACGUUACCAACAGAAUAAGCACCGGCUAACUUCG
This 482-nucleotide ribosomal RNA is filed under the name uncultured bacterium. RNAcentral's name for it is "partial 16S ribosomal RNA". It matches the Rfam family "Bacterial small subunit ribosomal RNA", at positions 30 to 505 of the family's 1533-position model. The record is from RNAcentral.